Molecule: transfer RNA, 62 nt
Filed under: Plagiorchis elegans
Lineage: Eukaryota; Metazoa; Platyhelminthes; Trematoda; Plagiorchiida; Plagiorchiidae
Description: tRNA-Met
Source: RNAcentral
GGAGAUGUAAGUUAAUUUAAACUAUAUGGUUCAUGUUCAUAAAAUAUUCUUUUUCUUCUCCU